GAUGAACGCUAGCGGGAGGCUUAACACAUGCAAGUCGAGGGGCAGCAUUUACUUCGGUAAGAUGGCGACCGGCGCACGGGUGCGUAACGCGUAUGCAACCUACCUUAUACAGGGGACUAGCCCAUGGAAACGUGGAUUAAUACCUCAUAGUAUUGUAAUAUCGCAUGAUAUUACAAUUAAAAUUUCGAUGGUAUAAGAUGGGCAUGCGUCUGAUUAGCUAGUUGGUGAGGUAAUGGCUCACCAAGGCAACGAUCAGUAGGGGUUCUGAGAGGAUUAUCCCCCACACUGGUACUGAGACACGGACCAG
This 307-nucleotide ribosomal RNA is filed under the name uncultured bacterium. RNAcentral's name for it is "bacterial SSU rRNA". It matches the Rfam family "Bacterial small subunit ribosomal RNA", at positions 28 to 334 of the family's 1533-position model. The record is from RNAcentral.